Molecule: long non-coding RNA, 2305 nt
Organism: Fundulus heteroclitus (mummichog)
Lineage: Eukaryota; Metazoa; Chordata; Actinopteri; Cyprinodontiformes; Fundulidae
Exons: 4
Source: RefSeq, a predicted model, not a curated record
CGUGUCUUGCACGUCGUCGCGAACGUUCGCUUGCUUCCGGCUUCCGUAGUCACUUCUGUGGCCACCAGGGGGGAAAAUGACGGCGUGGAAGAUGUGCGGUAAGCAGAUGCAUAGCUUUACCCUCGUGGGAACUACAGAAGCCGACGUCACGUAACUGCGCUUCGCUGAACGGCUGUUGUUACGAAGAAGCAGGGGAUGAUCGUCCGGUAAGGGCCUUCCAACGCCAGAGGAGGAGCAGGACAGAUGUGCUUCCGAACGCAUUUCAGUUUGACUGGGAGUCGUAUGAAAAUGCAGCGGAGCUUUUUGUCCCCAUUGGUAAGGUUGGUUAACGGAGGUUAAAGAAUAUUAAAUAUAUUGAGGAAUUGAAAAAAUAACGGGGAUAAAACCUCGCGUCUACCUGAACGCAGCUUUACUUAUUUCUCUUUUGUUCAAGCAUCAAAUGUUAGCUUCAGAUGGAAAAUAAAUGUGACAAUAUGGGGGAAUUCCCCCUAAGUGUGGACACUUUAAAAAUGUGUGUGUUUAAAGACACAUUUCCUUAUUAUAAGAGGAGCCGUGUGAAAUCCCCAAGUUGUCUUCAGCACGUAGCAAGUCGCUUUCGGUUUUAUCUGUUUAUGAUGACUUCCUUGUCAUCGUCUCUUUGAUGAAACAGCCAUUUACUUUAGCGCUAGCGGCUAGUCCAAGUGGGCCCUAGGUCAGUAUGUUCUGGGAAAUCAAUCCAAUAUCAGAAAUAUCCUAAUGGUUCAUGUGAAUUCUACUUCAUGAACACAGCUGUCAGAUUUACACUAGAGGGUUAUUUCUAGAGAACCGUAUGGUUACAGCAGAUAAAAUUAGAAAUGGACACAGGAACAAUUUUCUCAGUAAAUGUAUUUCUAAUACUUCUAUUGAGGCCACCAGUAAAUAUUAAACCUUGUGAUAUUUAUUUGCACAUAAUGGCUGGAAUAUUUUCUAAAUACUAACAAGCCUUUGGCUGGUUUCUUGGCUUUCAAUGCCUUUUGGUACAUCCUUUUCUCAUCCACCCUUCCACUUUAUUACACAUGACUCGAAUUUAUAGACUAAUUUGCUUUGAUUUCUGCAUAUGUGAGGAUUACUUUGUGUGUUGCUAAUAUCCGUUGUGAAUUUCAUCUCAGUAGAAAGUAGGGGCAUCCCGAUACUGAUUUUUUUUUUUUUCAGACCGAGCACGAGUACUUUAGUUCAGAUACUUGCUGAUUGCAAGUGCUGAUACUGAGUAUACUGAUAUAGCUUUAUUUGAUCAUAAUCAACUGGAUUUUGGUCUUUUUGGUAUAAGCAUACAACGUGGCUCUAUACCUUUAAAGACAAUGUGCAUAUAUAUUUGAGAGUGGAUAUGUUUUAACGUAGUAGAAGACCGUUUUGGAACUUUGGGAUUUUAGCGCUUAAGCAGAUCAGCUUUAACACUGGAAGAGUUAUGUACUACAGGCAAGGCAUGUUCAUAACCUCUAACAGAACGUGACAAACCUGAGCUACCCCUUUAAGGUCGCUCCAUGAAUGAUAAUAUUUAAGUUGGUGGAACCUUCACAGGUGUUAGCUAAACGUUUUGCUUUUUAAACCCUUUCCAGAAAAUAAUCUGUGGAUGUUUAAAUAGAUCCUAUGUUACUCCUCCUGAGGAACCUGCCUGCAGCCUACACCCAGCUCCAUGCCUUUGAGUUAAGUCCGUGGCAGAUAUAGUUAAGCCCAAAAUGAUUUACAGCCCUAGAAGACUUAUGUUAGUAUUUUUAAAAUAUUACUUUUAAACGAGUUUCUUCUGGCAGGAAGUAAUAGCAACGUUCUUGAGCGACUCGUCCUUAGUGCUGGCUUUAAUCUGGUAGAGAAUCAGCGGAAGCAGCUAAAGAUUAGGGUGAUUGCUUGGAGGCCUUUCAACCUUGGAGGCUUGGUGCUAAUCACCAACAAAAAAAUCUUUGAAAUAUGAGUGGAAAAAUACAAAAAGAUGGUCAGCAAUUUUAGGACAGGUUGAAUUGCUGUGAUGCCAAUGAAGAUUAGACCUUGGGCUAUUGAGAAGGAUGUGCACAUUUGGCAUAAUAUUUUGAAUAAAAUGUAAAACAAGAAUGAAUUGAAGCCUUCCAUUUACAUUUUUCAGUAUAUUUUGGGAGAUGCCGCUCUCAUUUUUUAUCAGAAACAAAUGCAAAUGAUUUAAAAUCAAAAUCGUCCAGGGGUCGGAAUAAUUUAGGUUUAACUCUUAUUGUCUGUAAAAGUGCUGAAAGCCUGAGUUCUUUUAAAUCAAGAUUAAAAACACAUUUGUUUAGGAUUGCCUUCGACUGUUCUAGUUAAACUGUUUCACUGAAAUAUAAUU